GUCGAACGGCAGCGGGAAGGAGCUUGCUCCUUUGCCGGCGAGUGGCGCACGGGUGCGUAACGCGUAUACAACCUACCUUAUACAGGGGUAUAGCCCAGGGAAACUUGGAUUAACACCCCAUAGUAAUAUGUUUUGGCAUCAUUACAUAUUUAAAACUACGGUGGUAUAAGAUGGGUAUGCGUCCCAUUAGCUUGUUGGUGUGGUAACGGCACACCAAGGCAACGAUGGGUAGGGGCCCUGAGAGGGGGGUCCCCCACACUGGUACUGAGACACGGACCAGACUCCUACGGGAGGCAGCAGUGAGGAAUAUUGGACAAUGGGCGCAAGCCUGAUCCAGCCAUGCCGCGUGCAGGAAGACUGCCCUAUGGGUUGUAAACUGCUUUUAUACGGGAAGAAACCCACCUACGUGUAGGUGGCUGACGGUACCGUAAGAAUAAGGACCGGCUAACUCCGUGCCAGCAGCCGCGGUAAUACGGAGGGUCCGAGCGUUAUCCGGAAUCAUUGGGUUUAAAGGGUCCGCAGGCGGCCAGAUAAGUCAGUGGUGAAAUUCCGUGGCUCAACCACGGAACUGCCAUUGAUACUGUUUGGCUUGAAUCAGUUCGAGGAUGCCGGAAUGUGUGGUGUAGCGGUGAAAUGCAUAGAUAUCACACAGAACACCAAUUGCGAAGGCAGGUGUCCAGAACUGUAUUGACGCUGAUGGACGAAAGCGUGGGUAGCGAACAGGAUUAGAUACCCUGGUAGUCCACGCCGUAAACGAUGGUCACUAGCUGUCCGGACUUAGGUCUGGGUGGCCAAGCGAAAGUGAUAAGUGACCCACCUGGGGAGUACGUUCGCAAGAAUGAAACUCAAAGGAAUUGACGGGGGCCCGCACAAGCGGUGGAGCAUGUGUUUAAUUCGAUGAUACGCGAGGAACCUUACCAGGCUUAAAUGCAUUAUGACAGGGGUGGAGACACCCUUUUCUUCGGACAUUUGCAAGGUGCUGCAUGUGUCGUCAGCUCGUGCCGGGAGUGUCAGUAGUCUAUAACGAGCGCACCCCUGUGUUAGUGCCAGCGAGUAUGUCGGACUCUAGCAGACUGCGUGCAACCGCGAGAGGUGGGAUGACGUCAUCAUCACGCCUACGCCCUGGCACACACUGCUACAUGCAGUACGCAGCACCACUGGUGACGAACGACCGUAGCCUGUCCAGUCGAUCGAACUGCACUGCAAUCUGGAGCUGAAUCGCUAAAAUCCCAAUAUUACCCCAG
RNAcentral lists this ribosomal RNA (1244 nucleotides) under uncultured bacterium. RNAcentral's name for it is "partial 16S ribosomal RNA". It matches the Rfam family "Bacterial small subunit ribosomal RNA", at positions 61 to 1356 of the family's 1533-position model. The record is from RNAcentral.